RNAcentral lists this long non-coding RNA (3594 nucleotides) under Homo sapiens (human). Its description in RNAcentral is "HSALNT0297588". The record is from RNAcentral. Lineage: Eukaryota; Metazoa; Chordata; Mammalia; Primates; Hominidae.
UGUGAGCCGCUGUGCCCAGGCCAAUCCCAGAGAUUUUGAAGAUGAUUUCUCGAUACGAGUUUCACGAAGACUUGAAAAGAAUGUGUCCUCUGUUGUUGGAUGGAGUGUCCUUGAAAUGUUCAUUAGCCUUCUAGCUCCAUUCAGAAGAGCCUCCGAAGUAGAGACCAGAAAUCCUUCUAGUGGGCUGUGCUUUGAGCAGUACUGCUUGUUGACUGCUUUACUUGGAAGGAGAGAUCGACUGAGGUAAGGCUCUUACUAAUGCACGUGCUUUGCUAAUGGUUUGGCCAGAUGAUCAAAAAUGUGGAAGGGGUAAGAUUCAAGGAUUGGUGACAAGGAAGUUUAGAAUAACAGAGAUGUGGAUGGGCCUCCUAGAAUGACCAAAGAAUAUGAGAAUAUUUAUGUUUCAUGUGAACAUUCAUCAAGCUCCUAUUGGUAGUCAGGUAGACAGGUAGACAAGGUGGUCUACUUUGAGGAUGCUGAUUAAUCUCUUCCUCCAGUGACGCAGGGUUUGCUCAGUGGGCUCAUGGACAGAGUGGCCCUGAUGGCUCAGUGGAGGGCUUGGUAUAGGCUUAGCCACAUGGACUCACCAAGACUAACCUGGUUACAGCCGUUGUUGAAUGCCCAACAUUCUACAGCAGAAACCAACCCUGAGCUCCUGACUUGGUGCCAUACCGUGGGGGGACCAACCUGCUGCUUCAGGCCCGGGAAAGAAGUGGACAAGACUCUGCUCUCUUCAUGGAACCGAGUAUUCUAAGGACACAGCCAAGUCAGGAGACUACACCCCUAGUAUAAUAAGUCCUGUGGCUGUACUGAGAAGAGGUCCUGACUCAGAACUGGAGGACAUCAUGGAAGGCUUCCUGGAGGAAGUGCCAUCUAGGCUGAAACCUAAAGGAUGAGUAGAACUAACCAGAUGAAAAGGGCACUGAUGGAGCUUACAAAUGUGAUGGCGGAGGCUUGAUCUACAUGAACUACUUUGCAUAAGUACUUUGAAGAAUCAUGGGGAAACGGAGAGGAGUCAGAAGACUGCAAAAGAGCAAAUGUGGCUUCAAUUUUCAAAAACAGGAUAAAGGAUAGAUUUAGAAAGUACAAAGCCUGAGGGAUCUAAAGCCUUGGGACUUCUGGAUCUGCAAGUGGUCCCUGUUUUGGUAGCUAUUGACUGACGAGGGGCUCUUCGGUAAGUUCUGGGGUGGCAGUGGAGGUGAUGAUGGGAGGGUGUUACAGGGCUCCACAGGCUCUUACAGGGCUCGGGAGCUUAUUUAAGGGAACACCUUGAUUGUCCAUGUGUCGUGGGCCAGAGAAGAAAGGCAGCACUGUGGAUCUUCUGGGAGGAAAGGAGAGGCGUCGAUUUCUGACUCCAGUUUUCUAUGAUCAGCACAGACUCUGUCCCACCUCCUCCCUACAGAGCUUCUGGAUCCUGGAGGAUGGAGAAUAGGCUAAAUUGCACAGGCCAGCUCCAGUCCAUUGGCAGGGCUGCCUAGAACAUGGCUGUGAUGAUCCCAAAGCUCAAUAGCAGAGAACCCUGUGGGGUGCUAGGAGUGUCUGCCAGGGUGCCGCAGGGAAAGGGGAGCAUGUGUGUAGAUGUAGAAAGCAUCUCUGCCAUCCCCUCCCCUAAAGAAUAUAUAACAUGGCCAUGCAGAAAAACACUUGUGAAAGGAGCUGCUGCCCUCAGGACAGCGUGUCAUUGAAAUGGGGGCUGAGCAACCCGUCAGAAGAGUGGGGAGGAGGGACCAUCCUCCAGCCCCUUCCCAGCUCUCUUCUGGAGCCAUAAGCCACAACACUGUCUAUGAAAAAGCUGAGGCCUAGAGCAGAAGGAGUGCAAAAUCCCAGCUACUGCAGGCCUACGCCCAGUGGUUCUCAAAGUGUUGUCCUCAGUCUAGCAGCAUCAGUGUCACCUGAAAACUGGUUAGACAUCCAGGUUCUCAGUUGUUAUCCAGCUCUAGCAGAUGGGAAACGCUGGGGGCGGGACCAGCCAUCUGUGUUUAACAAGCCCCACAGGUGACUGCUGUAGCCUUGAGUGAGGACCUCGGCCAAAAAGAAGGCUCCUACCGUGGCUGUUUGCUGAUGGUCUUCGCAGAGCCUGCUGUCUUUGAGCUUCCUGAGAGAGGGACACUACCCUCGCUUAGCCUGGCAGUGUUGCCCAGGAGGAGGCAGUGGAGUUAAGAAGCCUGGGUCUGAGCUCCUCAGCUGUGCAGACAACUCCUACUUGUUCUUCAACGCUCAACUUUAAGUUCAGUCACCACCUGCAGAAGUCUUCUCCAAAACCUCCCCACCUGGCUGACUAAGGGGCUGGCUUUAUGCUCUUGCAGUACUCAUGCUUCCUACUGUCACAGUUCUGACCACACCGUGGGAAAACGUCUCUAACUAGAGACCUGUCUUGCCUCUUGUGCCUGUAGUACGGGAUGGGUGCCCAGUGUGUGUUGAUUGUAUGAAUCAAUCUCUGUGACUCCAGAGUUCCUUUCUUCAGGAGAUUAGACAUCACCCCUGCAAUCAACAAUGCAAGCCACUGCUGUUUCCUCCAUCCUGAGCAUGAGGAACCUAUCCAGUUUCUCUCUCAGAUGCCAGGGCCAUGAGGCAAGUCCAGCCUUGGCCUAGAACCAAAGAUGGAAACAAAAAGGGGCCAGACUGUGUUGCCUUCUUGAGCCUGGUCUGACUCCUGAGUGGAAGUCUGAUUCCAGGUACAUGAGAUAAGCACUAAUACCUCCAGUUUGCAGAUUAAGAGACUGAGGUCCUGAAGAGGUUAAAGAACUUGGCUCAAGUCACAUAGCUGGUGAGCAGCAAGAUACAAGAAUCAACCCAAGUCCAGGGGGCUGUGUGCCGUUUACACUUCACAUCUGUGCUGCCAGGGCUGUAGCUAUAAAAGCUUGAAAACCAUUACUCUGAGAAUCUCUCUGUUGGGAAAAUGAGUCCCUUCAACUCUAGUUGUUGCCACUGGGAUGCUAACAGAAAGCAAAGUCUCAGAGGAAAGAUGUGGCAUUCCUGAGUGUCUUCCAUGUACCAGGACUUCUAUUUGCUAGCCACUUUAUGUUCCUCAUCCCAUCCUUCUGUGAGGGACAUACUUUUCAGAUGAGAAACGUAAGCUCCGCGAAGCUAAGGGGCCGGACUGAGGUCCCACAGCGAGAGUGUGGAGGAGCCAGGAUCCGAACCCCAUCGCCAGCCCUUGCCAGUUCCAUGAUUCCGGUGCCAGCGCUCGCCUGACCUCCAGGGCUGUCAUGGUGGGAAGGGACUGGAGGGCAUCUGCUGGGCAAAGGAAAGAGACAAACAUCAUCCCAGAGCCUGUCUUCCCUGGGCAAUACCCGGGCCACUCCAGACAUGGCGUCUUUAGCCCUUCCUUGGUCACUGGCCCCCAGGUGAAGAGAGCAUUUUUCUCUGACUCAAGUUCUUGCCUCUGGAUUUGCCAAGCUCCUAUGACAGUCUUCGCCCUUCUGAAGCUCUCUCAGGCUCCCCUUCCAGAAAUCCCGCAGGUUCCACCGACCUCUCUGAGAGCACAGGCGAGUGGUUGAACGGUGGGCUUUAGAGACGGCGCGGCACCAGAGUCCUGUACUGGCUGUGUGAUCCUGAACCUCCUCACUGAGAUUCUCAUCUGCAAGAUGGAGA